Long non-coding RNA from Cucumis sativus (cucumber), 1502 nucleotides. RefSeq lists it as uncharacterized. The transcript has 5 exons. NCBI's taxonomy places the organism in Eukaryota, Viridiplantae, Streptophyta, Magnoliopsida, Cucurbitales, Cucurbitaceae. The record is from RefSeq and is a predicted model, not a curated record.
UAGUGUCGGGUGAAAAAAAUGAAAAUCUGGCUUUAAUGUCAUUUCUGAAAAGACGGAUCAUUAAUGUCGGUUUUAAAUCGACAUUAAUGAUAUUUCCAUUUUUAAUUUUUAAAUUUUUUUUAUUAUGUGAAAACUGACAUUAAAGACCCUUCCCCUUUUUAAUUUCUUUUUUAAUUUUUUUAAGUUGUAAAAAUUAAAUUUCCCUCUCUCUCUUACUUUACCCAUUCCUAUCAAAAUUUUCUCUCUCGAUUUCGAAUUUCCUUCUCCCUUCUCUUCUCAUUCUAUGACCUAAAACUCAUCGUCGUCUUUGUGCCCAUAAUUCAACCCAAUCGCCAUCGUGGCUAAGACUCUUCCUUCAAGUCUUUCCCAGUCGCCAUUGUGCUUUGGCUAUCGAGAAACGCCUCUGUUGUGCUCAAUCAUCUUCGACCAUUCGCAGUCGCCCAGAACUCUUCCUUCAAGUCUUUCCCAGUCACAGUCGCCGUCGUGCUUCCGCCGCAAGAGUCCCUCGUGUCCAAUCAUCUUCGAAUCCACCACCAUAGCCACCACCGUGCCCAGCCAUUGCAACCAUCGCGUGCCCAGCCGUCAUCUUUGGCUAGCACAGGGCAGACCAAGACAGAGGGCAACUCAACCCGUGAAUACCAAUCUGGCAUUACUUCAUCAGACAUUGGACGAAAGAGAGUGGACUACAGAGGCCCUUUCGAGCCUUCUUCUGGAGGUUCAAAGAAUUUUCAUACGUUACAAAAAGGGUCAUAAUCACUUGAGAUCGUCCAUCAGAAGUGUUAACAUAGAUCUCUAUGCCGAUGAGGAUUUGGGCAACACACCUAUGAACGAAGAAGUGAAGGAGGAGAUUGUAGUUUACCUAUUCCAGUGAAGGGCAAGAUAGAGACUUUAAAUCAAGCAUUAGAUAUCUUUGGGAUGAAUGUGAUUGUGGAAGCAAGUUUUUUGUUAUGACCAAGCAAAAAUAACAUCACAUAUCAAGGAUCGUGAUCUCCGAUCCAGAAAUUUUGCCAACCAGUUAGAAGCGGCUACCUUGGAACAAAUAGUUCUAAUUCCGUAUAAUACUGGGUAAAUAAAUAAGAUUAACACAUUAUUAUGUUUUUCAUUGAGGUUAAAUGUAUACUCACAUUGAAGAUGUUUAUUGUAGUUUUCAUUGGAUGUUGCAUGUCAUCGAUCUUCGAACAGUUUAUGUUUUGGACUCUCUUCGAAGUAAAGUUAAUGAAGACAUCCAUGGAGUCAUAAAUGUGACUUAUGAUUUACUUCUUAUUUGACUUCAUUGUCUUCUAAUUCUAAUGUUUCCAAAUGUAUAGAGGAUUAAAAACAUGGCAAGCUAAGCAUGAUUUACAACAUUAUCGGUCAAAUCCGAAAUGGAAACCUAUAAAGUGUCCUCGUCAAUUGGAUUCGGUUGGGUGUGGGUAUUAUGUCCAAAAGUAUAUACAUGAAAUCGUGCAUAAUUCUAUUUAAUACAAAAAAGUGCAUAUACGCAAGAGGAGAUUGACGAGAUU